Molecule: ribosomal RNA, 513 nt
Filed under: Triticum aestivum (bread wheat)
Lineage: Eukaryota; Viridiplantae; Streptophyta; Magnoliopsida; Poales; Poaceae
Description: partial small subunit ribosomal RNA
Source: RNAcentral
AUGGCCAGGCGCGGCCGCCGUGUUUCGCCGGAGGCGGCAGCGCCGCUGGACUACGAGGACCUCGUCGGCGAGAUCCUCCUCCGCCUCCCCCCGCUGCCCUCUCGCUCACGCGCGCCACCGCCGUCUGCAAGCUCUGGGGCCGCCUCGCCGCCUCCCCCGACUUCCGCCGCCGCUUCCGCGAGCACCACUGCCGGAAACCCCCCAUCCUCGGCGUCUUCGAGAAGCAGUCUUCGACGCUCCUGUUCAUCCCCGCCCUCGACCCCCCCGACCGCAUCCCCGCCCAGCGCCUCUCCCUCCAGGCCUGCCGCUCCGGGGACUCCUGGCGCGUGCUGGGGUGCCGCGCCGGCCGCAUCCUCGUCGUCAACUGGACGCGGCGCGAGCUCCUCGUCUUUGACCCUGUCUCCGGCGACCGCCUCCGCGUGGCCUUCCCGCCUGAUUUUGUCGACGGCGCACACAACGCCAACGGGGCUGUGCUCUGCGACGAAAAGAGCCCACUCAAGCUGGUCUUUGUAA